This 74-nucleotide transfer RNA is filed under the name Nitratifractor salsuginis DSM 16511. It matches the Rfam family "tRNA". From Rfam's summary of the family: Transfer RNA (tRNA) molecules are approximately 80 nucleotides in length. Their secondary structure includes four short double-helical elements and three loops (D, anti-codon, and T loops). The record is from Rfam by way of RNAcentral. Lineage: Bacteria; Pseudomonadati; Campylobacterota; Epsilonproteobacteria; Campylobacterales; Sulfurovaceae.
GCGCCCGUGGCUCAGCUGGAUAGAGCACCUGAUUGCGGUUCAGGAGGUCUCAGGUUCGAAUCCUGACGGGCGUA